GACGAACGCUGGCGGCGUGCUUAACACAUGCAAGUCGAACGGAAAGGCCCUGCUUUUGUGGGGUGCUCGAGUGGCGAACGGGUGAGUAACACGUGAGUAACCUGCCCUUGACUUUGGGAUAACUUCAGGAAACUGGGGCUAAUACCGGAUAGGAGCUCCUGCUGCAUGGUGGGGGUUGGAAAGUUUCGGCGGUUGGGGAUGGACUCGCGGCUUAUCAGCUUGUUGGUGGGGUAGGGGCUUACCAAGGCUUUGACGGGUAGCCGGCCUGAGAGGGUGACCGGCCACAUUGGGACUGAGGUACGGCCCAGACUCGUACGGGAGGCAGCGGUGGGGAAUAUUGCACAGUGGGCGGAAGCCAGAUGCAGCAGCGCCGCGUGCGGGAUGACGGCCUUCGGGUUGUAAACCGCUUUCGACUGUGACGAAGCGUGAGUGACGGUAAUGGGUAAAGAAGCACCGGCUAACUACGU
Molecule: ribosomal RNA, 467 nt
Filed under: uncultured bacterium
Lineage: Bacteria
Description: partial 16S ribosomal RNA
Rfam family: Bacterial small subunit ribosomal RNA
Source: RNAcentral